RNAcentral lists this ribosomal RNA (253 nucleotides) under uncultured bacterium. Its description in RNAcentral is "partial 16S ribosomal RNA". It matches the Rfam family "Bacterial small subunit ribosomal RNA", at positions 524 to 776 of the family's 1533-position model. The record is from RNAcentral.
UACGGGGGGGGCAAGUGUUGUUCGGAAUUACUGGGCGUAAAGGGCGCGUAGGCGGUUUGCUAAGUUGAAUGUGAAAACUCUGGGCUUAACCCAGAGCCUGCAUUCAAUACUGGCAGGCUGGAGUUCUGGAGGGGAUAGCGGAAUUCCUGGUGUAGCGGUGAAAUGCGCAGAUAUCAGGAGGAACACCGGUGGCGAAGGCGGGUCUCUGGGCCGAUACUGACGCUGAGGAGCGAAAGCGUGGGGAGCGAACAGG